This 874-nucleotide ribosomal RNA is filed under the name Staphylococcus aureus. RNAcentral describes it as "bacterial SSU rRNA". It matches the Rfam family "Bacterial small subunit ribosomal RNA", at positions 61 to 917 of the family's 1533-position model. The record is from RNAcentral. Lineage: Bacteria; Bacillati; Bacillota; Bacilli; Caryophanales; Staphylococcaceae.
GUCGAGCGAACGGACGAGAAGCUUGCUUCUCUGAUGUUAGCGGCGGACGGGUGAGUAACACGUGGAUAACCUACCUAUAAGACUGGGAUAACUUCGGGAAACCGGAGCUAAUACCGGAUAAUAUUUUGAACCGCAGGGUUCAAAAGUGAAAGACGGUCUUGCUGUCACUUAUAGAUGGAUCCGCGCUGCAUUAGCUAGUUGGUAAGGUAACGGCUUACCAAGGCAACGAUGCAUAGCCGACCUGAGAGGGUGAUCGGCCACACUGGAACUGAGACACGGUCCAGACUCCUACGGGAGGCAGCAGUAGGGAAUCUUCCGCAAUGGGCGAAAGCCUGACGGAGCAACGCCGCGUGAGUGAUGAAGGUCUUCGGAUCGUAAAACUCUGUUAUUAGGGAAGAACAUAUGUGUAAGUAACUGUGCACAUCUUGACGGUACCUAAUCAGAAAGCCACGGCUAACUACGUGCCAGCAGCCGCGGUAAUACGUAGGUGGCAAGCGUUAUCCGGAAUUAUUGGGCGUAAAGCGCGCGUAGGCGGUUUUUUAAGUCUGAUGUGAAAGCCCACGGCUCAACCGUGGAGGGUCAUUGGAAACUGGAAAACUUGAGUGCAGAAGAGGAAAGUGGAAUUCCAUGUGUAGCGGUGAAAUGCGCAGAGAUAUGGAGGAACACCAGUGGCGAAGGCGACUUUCUGGUCUGUAACUGACGCUGAUGUGCGAAAGCGUGGGGAUCAAACAGGAUUAUAUACCCUGGUAUUCCACGCCGUAAACGAUGAGUGCUCAGUGUGAGGGGGGUUUCCGCCCCUUAUUGCUGCAGCUAACGCAUUAGCAUCUCCACGGGCGACUACGACGCACGGUGGAGACUCAAAUGAAAUAAUGGA